UACGUAGGGAGCGAGCGUUGUCCGGAAUUACUGGGUGUAAAGGGAGCGUGGGCGGGGAUGCAAGUUGGGUGUCAAAACUACCGGCUCAACUGGUAGUCGCACUCAAAACUGCAGCUCUUGAGUGAAGUAGAGGCAGGCGGAAUUCCUAGUGUAGCGGUGAAAUGCGUAGAUAUUAGGAGGAACACCAGUGGCGAAGGCGGCCUGCUGGGCUUUUACUGACGCUGAGGCUCGAAAGUGUGGGGAGCAAACAGG
This 252-nucleotide ribosomal RNA is filed under the name uncultured bacterium. Its description in RNAcentral is "partial 16S ribosomal RNA". It matches the Rfam family "Bacterial small subunit ribosomal RNA", at positions 524 to 776 of the family's 1533-position model. The record is from RNAcentral.